Hevea brasiliensis (rubber tree) is the source of this 1943-nucleotide long non-coding RNA. RefSeq lists it as uncharacterized. The transcript has 8 exons. The record is from RefSeq and is a predicted model, not a curated record. NCBI's taxonomy places the organism in Eukaryota, Viridiplantae, Streptophyta, Magnoliopsida, Malpighiales, Euphorbiaceae.
UUCUUGUCCUCCAAUUAUUUACUUUCUCUGACAAUUUUUUCUUCAUUCAUUUUAACUUAUCUACCUUGAGCAGGACUUCACAAUACCAGUUACCUUGUUAGAUAUACUUUCUUGUGACAGUGAAGUUCUACUUGACCCAUUGGAUGGCUAGAUUCCAUGAAUAGAAUGGAAAUGAGGCAGAAGAAAGAAAGAAAAAGGAACUUUGAAAAGUAUUUAUCUAAGAAAGAUGGAUUCACUUCAGAAGAGCCUUGAUUGUGUAGCAGUUUGGUCAGUUAAAGCACAUCAAAUGCCAUUUAGUCAGACGAAACUGAUCAUUUAUAUAUGAAGAUGAGUCAAUUGCAGAUGGAUGCUGAGCCUCGGUUAUUCCAAUAAAGGAACAAAGGGAAUGCAGAAAGUCCACCAAAAUAAGGAGAUUUGAAUAUUCAAUCAGUCAGUUGAAAUUGUCUCUCUUCUAUUGAAAUAACUAUUGUCUUGGAGGUUCCAGAUCAGUAGAAUUCUGCAGCUGAUCCAAAUAUUCAGUCCAUUCUCUGGAGAGGGACAACUUUGAUUUGUUUUCAUGGUAUGCCCGAAUUCAUGUUUUCUCGGGCUAAUAAUUAGUUUAGUUUAUUGAACAGUUUAAGUUUUUAUUGAAAUCUGUAGAGACUCCGCAGUUUACCUAUGGGAUAUUUAUGAUGUUUAUUCAGCAUUUUGUUUAUUUGGAUUUUGUCUAUUUUUGGGAUUAGUAAGUAACAAUAUAUUUAUUCAAGAUAUUCUGAUAAGGCUUGCAUGAUUUAAGAAUACUUAAAUUAUGCGCCGGUCACAGUUCAGAAUUUUGGGUCGUGACAGCCUCCCAUUUAUCAACUUUUAUUUACUUAAAACUAUGUGCAUGAAUGUAUUUUCCUUAAGCAUUUUAAGUUUGUAUUAUCUACCUUAAGCAAGACUUGGCAAUAUUUUCCACAAUGAUGAGACAGAUAAUGGGAAUGGUGAUGACUCAGAAAAGAAUAAGUUUACUGCACCAGGAAAGGAAAAGAAAAGAAAAGGGAAAGAUCUCAUUUUGGAAGGUUUCAGUCAAUUGCAAAUUCUAUGUGUAGCUCAUGCACAGUUGAAGAUACUGUAGACUGGUAUACUUAUUAAUAACUAGCCAAAUUGUUUUUACUCUCAUUUAAACAAUCUUACUUGGAAAACCAGUUCUUGUUUAUUGUUGCAGCAUUAAAUUUGCUAGCUCCAUUUCCACUUCCUUUUUUUGGGUGAUUUCCUUCACAAGGCAGCUAAUGUUGGAAGAUGAUCCUCCACAUAGUGCUUCAUGAGAUAAUCUUACUUUUUAUUAGAGAUUGCAAGAUGCAAGACAAUAUUAGAUGCACAGCUGCAUUGUUUUCUCUGAAAAAUUAUUCAAUCGAGUAGAAAGCAUGUCUUGGGAGCAAUCAACUUUGCCCCAAGUGAAAGACAAAAAAGAAUGCGUUGGAGGUCGAUAUCAUGCCUUUUAUUAGCUCCUUAUGGGAUUAUGACUGCUAAAUUUUGAGUUCGAGCUGUAAGCCUGAACAGAAAUAGAGAUAAGUUUACAUCACCCACUCGAGCUUUGAGCUUCGAGUUCUCAUCAUGUUGCCAACAUCCUUCAGCUAAAACUGACUAGAGGACCAAGAAAUGUCACUUUGCAAUUGGAAUCAUCAAAUGAUGGAAGAGAAUUAGUGAAUUCAAUCAGUAAGAGUAAACAAAACUAGUGAUAACUGUUGCUUGUGAAACUUGAGCUUUGAAUUCCCAUUUUGAAAGCAUCCUUCAAUUAAAGAUUGAUCGAAUGAACAAUUGAACUAGCUUUGCAAUUAGAACCAUUAGAAGAUGAAACAGGACUUUGUCCAUAGUGCACAAGCGGCUUUCCUUGUUAAAGUUGUUGUAUAUAUUGUUAGAUAUGAGAAGGAUUUGAAGUAAUUCAAUUUUUGCAAUAUUUCAGGAUAAUCUUGAUUAUGGAA